RNAcentral lists this long non-coding RNA (1609 nucleotides) under Ceratitis capitata (Mediterranean fruit fly). RNAcentral's name for it is "uncharacterized LOC110117949, transcript variant X2". The record is from RNAcentral. Lineage: Eukaryota; Metazoa; Arthropoda; Insecta; Diptera; Tephritidae.
GUCACUCCCGCGAUAUUCCCCAAAAAGUACUUUGGGGAAUAAUUUUGCGGUUACAACAACAACAACAACAGGCUGGUGUAUUUAAGCGUGAUCCUACUAGGAUUGAAGACAAUCCCCGCAAAGGACAACGACCGCAACCGCAAUUACACCAGAAAUCAUUGAGGAAGUUCAUAGUAUUCUUAGUGAAGAUCCAAGUUCCAUAGGCAUCUCACACGAACGAGUACUUAAUAACUUACAUGAAGAAUUACAUAUGGAAAAGCUGUUUAGAACGUUAGUGCCGCACACGUUAACAAUUCAGCAAAAACUGGAACGACAAAAAAACUCUCAGCAUAUUUUGUAGCGUUUUAAGCAGAAUAAAACCGAUUUCUUGCGUUGUUUUAUAACUAUGGAUGAGACCUAAAUUCACAGUGAUCCUAAAUUCAAACAAAAACGUUUACAGUGAGAUGAAGCUGGUUUUUCAGCUCUCAAGCUGGUGAAGUCACAAUGAUCACCAAAGAAGGUGAUAAAAAAACUCGUGAAAAAAAUACCUGAUUGGCAGCACGAAAUAUCAUCUUUUAUCAAGAUAAUGCACCUGCUGAUAAAGGUGUUUUAAUACUGACAAAAUACGAAAUUAAAAACCUGAAACAAUGCCUGCGUGGAAAGCGUUUGUCGUGGAAUGAAGAAGCUGUUACAACCGUAGACGGGUGUUUUGGGAAGUCAUUAUUGGGAUGGCAUAAAAAAUUAUUGGAGGAUCAUUGGAAUAAGUGUAUUGAAAAACUUUUCAACCAACCUGUAUAUUAUACCCAAAAUCACAAACUUGGCAAGUAUUUGUCAGAACUCAACUUUAAAUAGGAAUCAUUUAAGCCAGACGCAGGAUUCGCUUUAAAUAAAUCUUUGCACGGUUUGUGACCGCACGACUCAUUACGUUCUCUCAAUUUAUAUGGAAUAAAAUCAGAAUACUUGGAAACACCAUGUAUGCAUCGCAGAGAAGAGAUAUGGGAAUCCAUCAAAACUGAUAAGGGAUUUGGGAAAGAAACUAAUGAUGUAAAAGUUUAGUUGGCAAAUUGUUGGUGACAAGGCAAGACAAGAUUUUAGUGAAGGCGACUCCAGACUUUUCUCUACACAAGCAUCAAAAACGCAGUAUUCAUUUGGCAUUAAAAGGGCAAGGAGAGUGAAGCUCAAUAUGGAUACGAAAUACCUUGCAGUGGCAUUAUUAUUUCUACUUUUUAACAUAACAUCGAUAUACGGCAAUGCAAUACCGUUAGUGAAGUCUGAUGAUAUGAAAGUUCAAGAUUUAACGCGGAAGCUGCGAGACACAGAAUGGCAUUUUUCUUCCGAACAAAUCGAGAGUGGAGAUGAAGCAGAAUCAGUAUUCAAUUCUAAAACCUUUGUCAGCAAUAGCCAUACAGAAACACAUUCGUCAUUUAGGUCUUCACAUAACACAUUUAAUAAACAAUCGCAUUCUUCUGGUUAUUAUAAAAUAUUUAAUGUAAGAAAAUGAAGCACUCUUACAAUAUCCAUACUCGUAUGGAAGUCAUUUACGCUUUAGAUAUGUAAAAUAGUUAUGCUUAUUAUAGUUCUUAUGCCUAUGUAUGUAUGUUACAUAAUAAAAAUGAAUUUAUUAUAUGAU